GACGAACGCUGGCGGCGUGCUUAACACAUGCAAGUCGAACGCUGAAGCUCAGCUUUUGUUGGGUGGAUGAGUGGCGAACGGGUGAGUAACACGUGAGUAACCUGCCCCCUUCUUUGGGAUAACGCCCGGAAACGGGUGCUAAUACUGGAUAUUCACUGGUCUUCGCAUGGGGGUUGGUGGAAAGGGUUUUUCUGGUGGGGGAUGGGCUCGCGGCCUAUCAGCUUGUUGGUGGGGUGAUGGCCUACCAAGGCUUUGACGGGUAGCCGGCCUGAGAGGGUGACCGGUCACAUUGGGACUGAGCUACGGCCCAGACUCCUCCGGGGGGCAGCAGUGGGGAAUAUUGCACAAUGGGCGCAAGCCUGAUGCAGCGUCGCCGCGUGAGGGAUGGGGGCCGUCGGGUUGUGAACCUCUUUCGCUCAUGGUCAAGCCGCAACAAUGGUUGUGGUGAGGGUAGUGGGUAAAGAAGCGCCGGCUAACUACGUG
This 483-nucleotide ribosomal RNA is filed under the name uncultured bacterium. RNAcentral's name for it is "partial 16S ribosomal RNA". It matches the Rfam family "Bacterial small subunit ribosomal RNA", at positions 28 to 507 of the family's 1533-position model. The record is from RNAcentral.